RNAcentral lists this ribosomal RNA (497 nucleotides) under uncultured bacterium. Its description in RNAcentral is "partial 16S ribosomal RNA". It matches the Rfam family "Bacterial small subunit ribosomal RNA", at positions 28 to 507 of the family's 1533-position model. The record is from RNAcentral.
GAUGAACGCUGGCGGCGUGCCUAAUACAUGCAAGUCGAGCGAACAGACGAGGAGCUUGCUCCUUUGACGUUAGCGGCGGACGGGUGAGUAACACGUGGAUAACCUACCUAUAAGACUGGGAUAACUUCGGGAAACCGGAGCUAAUACCGGAUAACAUGUUGAACCGCAUGGUUCAACAGUGAAAGACGGUCUUGCUGUCACUUAUAGAUGGAUCCGCGCCGCAUUAGCUAGUUGGUAAGGUAACGGCUUACCAAGGCAACGAUGCGUAGCCGACCUGAGAGGGUGAUCGGCCACACUGGAACUGAGACACGGUCCAGACUCCUACGGGAGGCAGCAGUAGGGAAUCUUCCGCAAUGGGCGAAAGCCUGACGGAGCAACGCCGCGUGAGUGAAGAAGGUCUUCGGAUCGUAAAACUCUGUUAUUAGGGAAGAACAAAUGUGUAAGUAACUAUGCACGUCUUGACGGUACCUAAUCAGGAAGCCACGGCUAACUACGUG